Molecule: ribosomal RNA, 497 nt
Filed under: uncultured bacterium
Lineage: Bacteria
Description: partial 16S ribosomal RNA
Rfam family: Bacterial small subunit ribosomal RNA
Source: RNAcentral
GAUGAACGCUGGCGGCGUGCCUAAUACAUGCAAGUCGAGCGAACAGACGAGGAGCUUGCUCCUCUGACGUUAGCGGCGGACGGGUGAGUAACACGUGGAUAACCUACCUAUAAGACUGGGAUAACUUCGGGAAACCGGAGCUAAUACCGGAUAAUAUAUUGAACCGCAUGGUUCAAUAGUGAAAGACGGUUUUGCUGGCACUUAUAGAUGGAUCCGCGCCGCAUUAGCUAGUUGGUAAGGUAACGGCGUACCAAGGCUACGAUGCGUAGCCGACCUGAGAGGGUGAUCGGCCACACUGGAACUGAGACACGGUCCAGACGCCUACGGGAGGCAGCAGUAGGGAAUCUUCCGGAAAGGGCGAAAGCCUGACGGAGCAACGCCGCGUGAGUGAUGAAGGUCUUCGGAUCGUAAAACUCUGUUAUUAGGGAAGAACAAAUGUGUAAGUAACUAGGCACGUCUUGACGGUACCUAAUCAGAAAGCCACGGCUAACUACGUG